RNAcentral lists this long non-coding RNA (669 nucleotides) under Homo sapiens (human). RNAcentral describes it as "HSALNT0341197". The record is from RNAcentral. Lineage: Eukaryota; Metazoa; Chordata; Mammalia; Primates; Hominidae.
UGACAUAUACCUUUGUCUAACAUCUGAGUAAUGUGACUCUCAUGUGUGGGCCCAGCACGCAUCAGAUGGGAUUGUUACAUACACCUGGGCCAAGCACUUAGGCGAUGUGACUCUCCUGCCAGGGCGAGCCCUGUAGUAAGGAGGAUUUUAACAUAUUGCUGUACUCAGCACCUAGGUGAUGGGAUUUUUCUUCCUGGUUCCUGCCCAGAGUUCAAAUUGUGACAUAUAUCUGGGCCCAAAACACAGCUGAUGGUAAGGAUUAUUACCCUUCCAUAUGGACACAGCCCAUUGUUGAGGUUCUGAAUCUCACAGCUGGAGGCAAUUGAAAGUUGGAUGUGUGAUUCUUAUACAUGGAUCCAGAUCACAGGGUAAUUUGUGACAUACUGCUGGACCCAGCACCCAGAUCAUUUGACUCUCCUGCCUUGGUCCUGCCCACAGAGGGCAUUGUGACAUGUGAGUGGGCUCAGCAGCCAGAUGAUGUCACCUUCCUGCCAGGACUCUUCCAACAGAAGGGGCAUUGACCUACUCAGGCUCAGUAUUCAGGUGCUGUCUGAGGUUUGGCUGUCAUGCGUGGAUUCAAGUUGCUGUUGAAAUUGUGAUGUGCAGCUGGGCAUGGUGGCUCAUGCUUGUAAUCCCAGCACUUUGGGAGGCCAAGGCAGGUGGAUCACC